Molecule: ribosomal RNA, 200 nt
Filed under: uncultured bacterium
Lineage: Bacteria
Description: partial 16S ribosomal RNA
Rfam family: Bacterial small subunit ribosomal RNA
Source: RNAcentral
AGAGUUUGAUCCUGGCUCAGGAUGAACGCUGGCGGCGUGCUUAACACAUGCAAGUCGAACGUGCUAAUUGGGAGCCUAGCUCCCAUCUAGCAAGUGGCGGACGGGUGAGUAACGCGUGGGUAACCUACCUUAUGCAGGGGGAUAACGCUUGGAAACGAACGCUAAUACCGCAUAAACUAUGGUGCAUCGCAUGAUGCAUA